UACGGAGGAUGCGAGCGUUAUCCGGAUUUAUUGGGUUUAAAGGGUGCGUAGGCGGGAUGCCAAGUCAGCGGUAAAAAUGCGGUGCUCAACGCCGUCGAGCCGUUGAAACUGGCGUUCUUGAGUGGGCGAGAAGUAUGCGGAAUGCGUGGUGUAGCGGUGAAAUGCAUAGAUAUCACGCAGAACUCCGAUUGCGAAGGCAGCAUACCGGCGCCCUACUGACGCUGAGGCACGAAAGCGUUGGUAUCGAACAGG
RNAcentral lists this ribosomal RNA (252 nucleotides) under uncultured bacterium. RNAcentral describes it as "partial 16S ribosomal RNA". It matches the Rfam family "Bacterial small subunit ribosomal RNA", at positions 524 to 776 of the family's 1533-position model. The record is from RNAcentral.